GCAGAGGAGCCCAGCCCUGCAUUCCCUGUGUUCCCAUUCAGUGACCAGCACUGAACAGACUCACCAUGGAGCUGGAGCUGAGCUGGCUUUUCCUUGUUGUGCUUUUAAAAGGUGUCCAGUGUGAGGUGCAGCUGGUGGAGUCUGGGGGAGGCUUGGUACAGCCUGGAGGAUCCCUGACCCUCUCCUGUGCAGCCUCUGGAUUCACCUUCAGUAACUAUGGCAUUAACUGGGUCCGCCAGGCUCCAGGGAAGGGGCUGGAGUGGGUGGCAGUUAUAUGGUAUGAUGGAAGUCAGAAACAUUAUGUAGACUCCGUGAAGGGCCGAUUCACCAUCUCCAGAGACAAUUCCAAGAACACUUUGUCCCUGCAAAUGAACAGUCUGAAAGUGGAAGACACAGGCACCUAUUACUGUUCAGCAGGACACAGUGACAUAAUGAUACCAUGAGCUCCAACAAAAAGUUCUUUAAGUGUGCUCACAGCCAGCAGGGGCGCUCAAGGCACAAGACCUCUGAGAGCAGAAGCCCAGGAUGUGACCGGCAGGGCGGCCGUGUGUUGUCUCUUCAUAUCACAGAACAGCUCCUCUCUACAGGGAGGGCGUGAGCUAAUCUUUAAAGUCUCCAAAUAG
Nannospalax galili (Upper Galilee mountains blind mole rat) is the source of this 623-nucleotide RNA transcript. It is a transcript of the gene named immunoglobulin heavy variable 3-33-like, with no coding region annotated. The record is from RefSeq and is a predicted model, not a curated record. The transcript is spliced from 2 exons. Lineage: Eukaryota; Metazoa; Chordata; Mammalia; Rodentia; Spalacidae.